Molecule: ribosomal RNA, 460 nt
Filed under: uncultured bacterium
Lineage: Bacteria
Description: partial 16S ribosomal RNA
Rfam family: Bacterial small subunit ribosomal RNA
Source: RNAcentral
CCUACGGGCGGCUGCAGUGAGGAAUAUUGGUCAAUGGGCGGAAGCCUGAACCAGCCAAGUAGCGUGCAGGAUGACGGCCCUACGGGUUGUAAACUGCUUUUAUACGGGAAUAACGCGCCUUACGUGUAGGCCUUUGCAUGUACCUUAUGAGUAAGGACCGGCUAAUUCCGUGCCAGCAGCCGCGGUAAUACGGAGGGUCCGGGCGUUGCCCGGAUUUAUUGGGUUUAAAGGGAGCGUAGGCCGCAUGUCAAGCGUGCUGUGAAAUGUCCGGGCUCAACCCGGGCCUUGCAGCGCGAACUGGCGGGCUUGAGUCCGCGGAAGGCAGGCGGAAUUCGUCGUGUAGCGGUGAAAUGCUUAGAUAUGACGAAGAACCCCGAUUGCGAAGGCAGCUUGCUGCAGCGGAACUGACGCUGAUGCUCGAAAGCGCGGGUAUCGAACAGGAUUAGAUACCCCAGUAGUC